Molecule: unclassified non-coding RNA, 329 nt
Filed under: soil metagenome
Description: partial contains 5.8S ribosomal RNA, internal transcribed spacer 2, and large subunit ribosomal RNA
Rfam family: 5.8S ribosomal RNA (bases 1-120)
Source: RNAcentral
GAUGAAGAACGUAGCGAAAUGCGAUAAGUAGUGUGAAUUGCAGAAUUCAGUGAAUCAUCGAAUCUUUGAACGCACAUUGCGCCCCUUGGUAUUCCGAGGGGCAUGCCUAUUCGAGCGUCAUUAUCACCCCUCAAGCCUAGCUUGGUGUUGAGACCUGCUGUCAAGGCAGUCUCUAAAAUCAGUGGCAGUGCUGUCAGGCUCUAAGCGUAGUAAAUCUAAUCGCUAUAGACACCUGGUGGACACUCGCCAGAACCCCCCCAUUUUUUAAUGAUUGACCUCGGAUUAGGUAGGGAUACCCGCUGAACUUAAGCAUAUCAAUAAGCGGAGGA